This 791-nucleotide ribosomal RNA is filed under the name uncultured archaeon. RNAcentral describes it as "bacterial SSU rRNA". It matches the Rfam family "Archaeal small subunit ribosomal RNA", at positions 85 to 879 of the family's 1478-position model. The record is from RNAcentral.
ACUGCUCAGUAACACGUGGAUAACCUGCCCAAGGGUCUGGGAUAACCCCGGGAAACUGGGGAUAAUACCGGAUGGAUCACUAGUGCUGGAAUGCUUGGUGGUCGAAAGGUAACGCCUUUGGAUGGGUCUGCGGCGGAUUAGGUUGACGCCGGUGUAACGUACCGGCGUGCCUGUAAUCCGUACGGGUUGUGGGAGCAAGAGCCCGGAGAUGGAUUCUGAGACACGAAUCCAGGCCCUACGGGGCGCAGCAGGCGCGAAAACUCUACAAUGCAGGCAACUGCGAUAGGGGGACAUCGAGUGGCAUCCACCUUGGGUGCCUGUCCAACCGUCUAAAAAACGGUUGUUAGCAAGGGCCGGGUAAGACCGGUGCCAGCCGCCGCGGUGAUACCGGCGGCUCGAGUGGUGGCCGAUAUUAUUGAGUCUAAAGGGUCCGUAGCCGGCUUUGCAAGUCCCCUGGGAAAUCCAGCGGCUUAACCGUUGGGCUUUCAUGGGAUACUACAUUGCUUGGGACUGGGAGAGGUAGGAGGUACUCGGGGGGUAGGGGUGAAAUCCUGUAAUCCUCCGGGGACCACCGGUGGCGAAGGCGUCCUACCAGAACAGGUCCGACGGUGAGGGACGAAAGCUAGGGGCACGAACCGGAUUAGAUACCCGGGUAGUCCUAGCCGUAAACGAUGCCCGCUAGGUGUCACGACGGUCGUGAAUCGUCGUGGUGCCGUAGGGAAGCCGCGAAGCGGGCCAUUUGGGAAGUACGGCCGCAAGGCUGAAACUUAAAGGAAUUGGCGGGGGAGCAC